This is a long non-coding RNA of Ictalurus punctatus (channel catfish), 292 nucleotides long. Lineage: Eukaryota; Metazoa; Chordata; Actinopteri; Siluriformes; Ictaluridae. The record is from Ensembl.
UCACUUCUUAUUACUUACUACUUAAUCUUCCGCGUUGUGUGCUGGGAAGCGCGCGGUAUAUAUGCGGACAUGAUUACAAUCGCGACUGCUAACAGCUGAGGUUAAUCCGGACACACGUGACUUCCCAGCCAAUGACGGAACAGGGAGGAGACAUGACAAACAUAAACAAAACCCACGUGUCCCAAUGUCACUAAGGUCGACAGCGGAAAAGCAGGUGUUCGCGCAUUUGCGCUUAAAGCACACUGCUUCAAGGGGGAAUUGUGACAACUGAAGUUUUAUUCUGCUGUAAAAG